AACUAACAAGGAUUCCCCUAGUAACGGCGAGUGAACCGGGAAGAGCUCAAAUUUGAAAUCUGGCGUCCUCAGGGCGUCCGAGUUGUAAUCUAUAGAGGCGUUUUCCGUGCCGGACCGUGUCCAAGUUCCUUGGAACAGGAUAUCAAAGAGGGUGACAAUCCCGUACUUGACACGAUGACCGGUGCUCUGUGAUACGUCUUCUACGAGUCGAGUUGUUUGGGAAUGCAGCUCAAAAUGGGUGGUGAGUUCCAUCUAAAGCUAAAUAUUGGCGAGAGACCGAUAGCGAACAAGUACCGUGAGGGAAAGAUGAAAAGCACUUUGGAAAGAGAGUUAAACAGUACGUGAAAUUGUUGAAAGGGAAACGAUUGAAGUCAGUCGUGACUGAGAGGCUCAGCCGGUUCUGCCGGUGUAUUCCCCUCAGUCGGGUCAACAUCAGUUUUGUCCGGUGGAAAAGGGCGGUAGGAACGUGGCACCUCCGGGUGUGUUAUAGCCUGCCGUCGCAUACAUCGGGUGAGACUGAGGAAUGCAGCUCGCCUUUAUGGCCGGGGUUCGCCCACGUCCGAG
RNAcentral lists this ribosomal RNA (564 nucleotides) under Papiliotrema rajasthanensis. Its description in RNAcentral is "LSU rRNA". It matches the Rfam family "Eukaryotic large subunit ribosomal RNA", at positions 63 to 621 of the family's 3401-position model. The record is from RNAcentral. Lineage: Eukaryota; Fungi; Basidiomycota; Tremellomycetes; Tremellales; Rhynchogastremaceae.